Molecule: long non-coding RNA, 506 nt
Filed under: Zostera marina
Lineage: Eukaryota; Viridiplantae; Streptophyta; Magnoliopsida; Alismatales; Zosteraceae
Description: long non-coding RNA (ZMAR_LNC002234)
Source: RNAcentral
CUCCCAUUGCCGCAAGCUUGUCCUUCGCGAUCGUCCCCCUCUUCAGGCAAUCGACCACCGAUGUCUCCCCUUUCUUGAUGUUGUGUAAUUCAGAACGCAGAUGAAGCAAUCUGGUCUCGGAAUCGGAAGAGUACAUUUCGUUCAGUGAUACCCAUACCUCCGCGGAUGUCGUGAGAACUGCAACUUGCGGUAGAACCGUCGGCAAGAGUGAUGUCAAGAUCCAGCUGAGAUUCAACUGGUCUUAUUGUUCAUUGGCCAAGCCCGGAAUUAGUUCUACCUCUCCGUUGAUGAAGUCCAGCAGAAAAAGUUCUCUUCGGUCAAGGUAACGUAUUUAAUCUGCUUCGUGGUGAUUGCUCUCCUCGAUGCUUUCUCCCUCCGUCUACAUGAUAAUGUGCGCAGCGGACUGUGGAUCUUUCGAGGGUGAAAAACCACCCUCAUCUGUCGAUGAUACCAUAUUGGAACAGAAGAAGAAGAUAAGAGGAAGCUCGUCAGGUGGAAGAAGAUUC